UUGGAAGGAAUUCUUUCUUUACUACAUUCCUUUCUUCUUACUAUUAUUUAUAUCCUUAAAUAAUAAUAAAGCUUUCCUCUAAAAUACUCUUUUCUCAUGUAUAUUUUCAUAUUUAUUUGUAAUAUUAAAUAUUUUUAUAAAUAUGUGAUGCUCGAUACAAGAAACUUUUUCUUUUAUCUGCUUGAAACAAUAAAAAUUUAUCUUUAUUAAAUUUAUAAUGGAUCGAC
This 227-nucleotide long non-coding RNA is filed under the name Elaeis guineensis (African oil palm). RNAcentral describes it as "long non-coding RNA (EGUI_LNC019641)". Lineage: Eukaryota; Viridiplantae; Streptophyta; Magnoliopsida; Arecales; Arecaceae. The record is from RNAcentral.